Molecule: ribosomal RNA, 625 nt
Filed under: Vibrio tasmaniensis
Lineage: Bacteria; Pseudomonadati; Pseudomonadota; Gammaproteobacteria; Vibrionales; Vibrionaceae
Description: bacterial SSU rRNA
Rfam family: Bacterial small subunit ribosomal RNA
Source: RNAcentral
UAACACAUGCAAGUCGAGCGGAAACGACACUAACAAUCCUUCGGGUGCGUUAAUGGGCGUCGAGCGGCGGACGGGUGAGUAAUGCCUAGGAAAUUGCCUUGAUGUGGGGGAUAACCAUUGGAAACGAUGGCUAAUACCGCAUGAUGCCUACGGGCCAAAGAGGGGGACCUUCGGGCCUCUCGCGUCAAGAUAUGCCUAGGUGGGAUUAGCUAGUUGGUGAGGUAAUGGCUCACCAAGGCGACGAUCCCUAGCUGGUCUGAGAGGAUGAUCAGCCACACUGGAACUGAGACACGGUCCAGACUCCUACGGGAGGCAGCAGUGGGGAAUAUUGCACAAUGGGCGAAAGCCUGAUGCAGCCAUGCCGCGUGUAUGAAGAAGGCCUUCGGGUUGUAAAGUACUUUCAGUUGUGAGGAAGGGUGUGUAGUUAAUAGCUGCGCAUCUUGACGUUAGCAACAGAAGAAGCACCGGCUAACUCCGUGCCAGCAGCCGCGGUAAUACGGAGGGUGCGAGCGUUAAUCGGAAUUACUGGGCGUAAAGCGCAUGCAGGUGGUUCAUUAAGUCAGAUGUGAAAGCCCGGGGCUCAACCUCGGAACUGCAUUUGAAACUGGUGAACUAGAGUACUGUA